Uranotaenia lowii is the source of this 341-nucleotide long non-coding RNA. RefSeq lists it as uncharacterized. Lineage: Eukaryota; Metazoa; Arthropoda; Insecta; Diptera; Culicidae. The transcript is spliced from 2 exons. The record is from RefSeq and is a predicted model, not a curated record.
UUCAAAAUGAGCGUGUAGCAUUUGCUGUCAAAACGAAAAUUUUCAUCGCAGGUUUGGUGCGCGUGGUAGGUACGCGAUGGUGUUAGAAAAAUGUUUUGCUAAAAAUUUUUCCCAAGAGAAUUCACUUCCAAAAAUGGAAAAGCAGACGAUAUUGAAGCAGAUCAGUCCACGGAGAAUCACGCUAUCAAUGAAGCCGUGACGCUGGAUUUCGGAAUGCUCAACCUGAGCUGGAAGACAUACUUGCAUACAACUUGCAAAAAAACACUGACUCUCAAAGAAAUUUUCAUGUAAAUUAUUAAGUGUUUUGUGAUUCGUGAAUAAAUAUUUUGACAUAUAUGAAA